ACAGCAGCGCGGCAGCCGGCCCGCUCGGGCCCACUCCGUCUUCCCAUUUCUGCAUCGUCUCGGCACCAUUCUUCGGCGCAAGCCCGCACAGCUUCGCCAUGUCACCGGUCGUCAUCCGACGGCCGAGCGCAUCGGCCAGGUCGUGCCGCAGCUGCUUGAGCUCUCCGCCGGUCAUUUUCCCCACCAAUCGAUGCGGCUGAACGUAAUGUUGCGUUUGACCAUUUCGUCGGAUAGAUCCUUGGCCCACUGUCG
This 252-nucleotide unclassified non-coding RNA is filed under the name Hevea brasiliensis (rubber tree). The record is from RNAcentral. Lineage: Eukaryota; Viridiplantae; Streptophyta; Magnoliopsida; Malpighiales; Euphorbiaceae.